UGAAAUGUAUACUUAGAACAAUCGAAAUCUUAAAUUUUGUAGGAGUCCUUAGUAAAUAAUUAAGUAUUCUCAAGAUAAAUAACCUCAUUUUUAUACGUUAUUUAAUUGAACAAUACUUGCUGAAGCUUCAUUCUUGUAGCCAUUGAGGUUAGAGUAAUGAAAACGAUAUUUUCGAUAUUUAUUGAGCUCAAGUUUUCAAUUACCAAGUACUUUUCCUGCAUAAUAGUUUUACUCUUCGAACAGCUUAAAAAGAUCUCCAAAUGUUAAAAUCGCAUUUGCUACUAAAAGUG
Non-coding RNA from Schizosaccharomyces pombe (fission yeast), 290 nucleotides. The record is from the annotation of a GenBank genome assembly. Lineage: Eukaryota; Fungi; Ascomycota; Schizosaccharomycetes; Schizosaccharomycetales; Schizosaccharomycetaceae.